UCGUGUAUCCCUCCGCCACUGCGAUUUCUGCUACUUCCGCGAUUUCUGCUACUUCUGCGAUUUCUGUGACUUACCACCGUAUGAAAAAGUUACAUCUGUCAACACAGAAAAUUGCAUCUCAACAAACCUGUCAUUGGCAAGUACCUGAACUACAUUUCAGUCACUCAGUAAAGCCAUAAUUCAAAAUAUCGUUGUCAACAGAUCUGAAGAAAUUGCCACUGCGUCUUUAGACCGUUUUCGUCAGACGAGAGGUUAGUUUCUAAGCGUUUCGAUGGACUUAAUUACUUCAGUGAGAUCGUGCUUGCAAAUGUGACAUUCAUUAUAGCAAAUAUUAGCAAUCCACUCUGUCAAUUAUAUUGCUAGUAAUUAGUGACAGCAAAAAUUGUUUAAUACUCCUUGUGUUUUUGCAGACGCAGUUCUGACUGAUUACUGGUUGCUGGUACGUAUCUAUCCACAUCAAGGCUGUUGAGAGAGACUCGUGAAGAUUCAAGACAGCUCUUAGAGGAUUUGCAGUUUAAAAGUGAAAUAAGUGUGUGAGUGAUUAAACUGUGUUUUAUUGAAGUUGUUGUGCGAUUUUAAACGAAUAAUAAAUGUUAAAUACAGUGAGUGAAUAAUAAAAAUCUCAUUUUCCACAUGUUAA
Schistocerca serialis cubense is the source of this 640-nucleotide long non-coding RNA. RefSeq lists it as uncharacterized. NCBI's taxonomy places the organism in Eukaryota, Metazoa, Arthropoda, Insecta, Orthoptera, Acrididae. The record is from RefSeq and is a predicted model, not a curated record. The transcript is spliced from 2 exons.